CUUUGACCUCAAAUGCAGGUAGGACUACCCGCUGAACUUAAGCAUAUCAAUAAGCGGAGGAAAAGAAACCAACAGGGAUUGCCUCAGUAGCGGCGAGUGAAGCGGCAAAAGCUCAAAUUUGAAAUCUGGCGUCUUUGGCGUCCGAGUUGUAAUUUGAAGAAGGUAUCUUUGGGCCCGGCUCUUGUCUAUGUUCCUUGGAACAGGACGUCACAGAGGGUGAGAAUCCCGUGCGAUGAGAUGACCCGGGUCUGUGUAAAGUUCCUUCGACGAGUCGAGUUGUUGG
Molecule: ribosomal RNA, 283 nt
Filed under: Candida albicans
Lineage: Eukaryota; Fungi; Ascomycota; Pichiomycetes; Serinales; Debaryomycetaceae
Description: partial 28S ribosomal RNA
Rfam family: Eukaryotic large subunit ribosomal RNA
Source: RNAcentral